UCAUGUGGGAUUCCAGUAUUCCACAUAAGAUUUCAGCAGGAUAUUGCUCAUCGUGUAGGAUCCUGAAGCAUAUCUUGGCUGAGUGACAUGUAGGAUAUUGGUUUAAAGAUAUAUUAAUGCAUUGUAUUGUUAUUCCGAAAGUUGUGGUUUAAUGAGAUAUUAAUGCAAUUAUUCCAAAAGUUCAUAUCAAUCCAAACAUUUCUUGAUUACACAAUUCUCUUUCUCUGUCUCAUCUCUGAGAUUAAACUCACCCAAUGGAUUUAACUGCUCAAAUAUAAUCAAAAUGUCUGAUCUCUCCCCACGAAUGGCAACUAGGCUCUUACAAUCACACCUCUGUCGCUUUAUACACUCUCCAUCUCACACGCCGCCGCUCUAUCACCUCCUCCAUGCGACACCACAAUCACCUCCAGAUUCCGUCACCGUCGUCCGACUGCCGACACUUGCUGGUGACCUCUCGAUUCUUCCACUCUGGUCUUGCGAUUCGGCGUAUUGGUGGCGCAGCUAGAGUCUAUAGUCACCUCUGCAUCGCAACAAUCGCCUGACCCUCUCCUAUGCGUCGAUCUCCUCUCUGAUCUCACCUCCGCCAUCAACGAAGAGCCCAAGGUCGGUCGAUCUAAACGGGUUUAUGAGAAUGGGUGAAGUGGUUUUGAGCGUUGAAGAAGCAAUGGAAAUGGAGUUGGAGGCAGAGAAGAACGACAGUAAGAAGGAUGGCUCGUCCGAGGUGGUUAGGUGGGAAAGAUUUCUGUCGAGGAUGGUUCUUAGAGUUCUAUUGGUAGAAGCAGAUGAUUUUACACAUCAUAUUAUCUCUGCUCUUCUUAGAAAAUGCAAUUACAGAGUAAUUUGGGUGUGGGAGUUUACAUAAACCUGCUUGCAGUGUAUAGAUCCAUCUCUGACAGUCAAUCUCACAAUCACAAUGCUUGAUACAAAUGCAGAAGACGGCACAACCAUGGUUCAUCGAAGGUCUAAGCCCUGCCAACUCAAACAACCACUGACAAAAGCCUUCGUCUCUGCUGGCUGAUUGGAACUCUUACACCUUUUCUCAAGAAUCUGAUUCCUCCGCUUUCAAUCUUGAAGCUGCCGUCUGCACCACCACCGGGAAAGUCAGCGGCAGUUUUAGCAUUUGUGGCGAGUUUGAGAGGUUGAGUGGAUUUUGCUCUUUGGCUGCCCUGCUGGUGCUAACUUGCUCAAUGCUCUUCCUUCAAGUGUCUUCAUAUUUAUUCUUUUUGUUUAAUGUUUAAUUGUGGCAAGUUCAGAUUUAUUUCUCUUUUUUUUUUUUUCAUGAUAUUUCUUUUUUCUAAUUUCCGUUUUGGGUUUUGAAUUUGGAUGGCGGUGGGACUGAUGAAAAGCUUGAGGACUCUGGGAAAUCCACUUCUGAGGUGCAUGAUGAGGCUGAGCAGGAAUCCAGAUCUUAGAUAGAUCUCAGAGUUGCUUUGGGAUCAGGGUGUGUACAGUGGCGAAGGAAUCAUGAACUGAAUAGUUGUUUAGAAGGUUUUAUGUUUUUUUUUCGCAUUCUAGUUUCCCUACUCCUUCUCAAUCAUGACUUAUUAUGGUAGUUGAUAAUGAUAAAAAUGUAUAUUUUAUUUACUAAAUGUUGAUAAAAAAAAUUUACAAUAAAGCCUUCCUGAUACAACUAUACUGCAUGUUAAACUGUGUUUAUAGUCUGAAUCCGGAUAUUCUUGAAACUGUCAUUAAUUAACCAGAUUAAACAUCAACAUCUUCGCCUACUUUACACAUUUCAGAUGUACAUUGCUUCU
This is a long non-coding RNA of Pistacia vera, 1754 nucleotides long. RefSeq lists it as uncharacterized. The record is from RefSeq and is a predicted model, not a curated record. NCBI's taxonomy places the organism in Eukaryota, Viridiplantae, Streptophyta, Magnoliopsida, Sapindales, Anacardiaceae. The transcript is spliced from 4 exons.